AGCUCCAAUAGCGUAUAUUAAAGUUGUUGCGGUUAAAAAGCUCGUAGUUGGAUUUCUGCCGAGGACGACCGGUCCGCCCUGUGGGUGAGUAUCUGGCUCGGCCUGGGCAUCUUAUUGGAGAACGUAGCUACACUUGAUUGUGUGGUGCGGUAUCCAUUACUUCGAGGAAAUUAGAAUGUUUCAAGCAGGCACACGCCUUGAAUACAUUAGCAUGUAAUGAUAAGAUGGCACCUCGGUUCUAUCUUGUUGGUUUCUAGAGCUGACGUAAUGAUUAAUACGGAUAGUUGGGGGCAUUCGUAUUUAACUGUCAGAGGUGAAAUUCCCGGAUUUGUUAAAGACGGAUUACUGCGAAAGCAUUUGCCAAGGAUGUUUUCA
Molecule: ribosomal RNA, 375 nt
Filed under: uncultured eukaryote
Lineage: Eukaryota
Description: SSU rRNA
Rfam family: Eukaryotic small subunit ribosomal RNA
Source: RNAcentral